Molecule: long non-coding RNA, 869 nt
Filed under: Helianthus annuus (common sunflower)
Lineage: Eukaryota; Viridiplantae; Streptophyta; Magnoliopsida; Asterales; Asteraceae
Description: sRNA HanXRQr2_Chr11g0485341
Source: RNAcentral
GCUCGUAAGUAGAGGAUCAUGCGCCAGCUGGCGGAUCUGUGAUCGCUCGUAAGUGGAGGCUUGCUCGUAAUUAGAGGAGCAUGCGCGAGCCGGCGCAUGUGUGCUCGCUCGUAAGUGGAGGCUCGCUCGUAAGUAUGUAGAGGAGCACGCGCCAGCCGGCGCAUGUGUGCUCGCUGGUAACCAGAGGAGUAUGCGCCAGCAGGCUCAUAAGGGGGAGAAUGUGCGUAUCGCGACUUACGUGCUCGUAUGUAGAGCAGCAGACUCGCAUUGAGACUGAGAUGCUCGUAUGUAAAAGAGCAUGCGCUCGUGGCGACUUACGUACUCGAAUGUAAAGCAGUAGGCUCGCACGGAGACGGAGAAGCUCGUAUGUAAAGGAGCAUGCGCAUAUGGCGACUUAAGUGAACGCAAGGGAGCAUGCGCGUACGGCAACUCACGUGCUCGUAUGUAGAGCAGCAGGCUCGCAAGGAGACUGGUGUGCUCAUAUGUAGAGCAGCAGGCUGGCAUGGAGGCUGACGUGCUCGUAUGUAAAGAAGCAUGCGCGUAUAGCGACUUACGUGCUCGUAUGUAGAGUAGCAUACUCGCAUUGAGACUGAGAUGCUCGUAUGUAAAGGAGCAUGCGCGCAUGGCGUCUUACGUGCUCGUAUGUAGGACAGCAGACUCGCACGGCGUCUGAGAUGCUCGUAUGUAAAAGAGCAUGCGCGUAUGGCGACUUACGUGAACGUAAGUAAGGGAGCAUGCGAGUAUGGCAACUUACGUGCUCGUAUGUAGAGCAGCAGGCUCGUAAGGAGACUGGUGUGCUCGUAUGUAGAGCAGCAGACUCGUAUGGCGACUGAGAUGCUCGUAUGUGAAGGAGCAGGUGUGCUCGCUAG